GGGCCGUGGAUGGGCGGC
This 18-nucleotide unclassified non-coding RNA is filed under the name Chlamydomonas reinhardtii. RNAcentral describes it as "small RNA Cre_1900". The record is from RNAcentral. Lineage: Eukaryota; Viridiplantae; Chlorophyta; Chlorophyceae; Chlamydomonadales; Chlamydomonadaceae.